UGAACGUGGCUACUGUGCCAGCUGGUGGAUCGCUCGGCUUGAGAGCUGAUGAAGGACGUGCCAAGCUGCGAUAAGCCUGAGGGAGCCGCACGGAGGCGAAGAACUCAGGAUUUCCGAAUGGGAAUCCCCACCGCAAUUGCUUCGCGCAAUGGGGAACGUCGAGAAUUGAAACAUCUUAGUAUCGACAGGAAAAGAAAGCAAACGCGAUGUCGUUAGUAAUGGCGAAUAAACGCGACAGAGUCCAAACCGAAGCCUUCACGGGCAAUGUGGUGUUCGGGCUGACUCUCAUCAGCGGAAACGCGACGCGAAGUCUCUUGGAAUAGAGCACGAAACAGGGUGACAGUCCCGUACCGUCGACGAGUAUGCUGUGCGUCAGUCCCAGAGUAUCGGGGGUUGGAUAUCCCUCGUGAAUAUCGCGGGCAUCGACCGCGAAGACUAAACACUCCUCAAGACCGAUAGCGAACAAGUAGCGUGAGCGAACGCUGAAAAGCACCCCACGAAGGGAGGUGCAAUAGGGCGUGAAAUCAGUUGGCGAUGGAGCGACAGGGCACACAAGGUCCCGGACAUAAUGAAUCAGGUGCGAACCUGUAGUAAGCAGUUUGGGAAGCCGGUGUUCUGUCGUACGUUUUGAAAAACGAACCAGGGAGUGUGCCUGUUUGACGAGUCUAACCCGAUUAUCGGGGAAGGCGUAGGGAAACCGACAUGGCCGCAGCACUUUGUGCGAGGGCCGCCGUGUUCAAGCGCGGGGAGUCAAACGGGCACGACCCGAAACCGGACGAUCUACGCAAGGGCAAGAUGAAGCGUGCCGAAAGGCACGUGGAAGUCUGUUAGAGUUGGUGUCCUACAAUACCCUCUCGUGACCUUUGUGUAGGGGUGAAAGGCCCAUCGAGUCCGGAAACAGCUGGUUCCAACCGAAACAUGUCGAAGCAUGACCUCUGCCGAGGUAGUUCGUGGGGUAGAGCGACGGAUUGGGGGACCGCACUCCGAGAGGAGUGCGCCCCCCUGUCCAACUCCGAACCUACGAACGCCGUUUGACGCAGGGAGUCCGGUGCACGGGGUAAGCCUGUGUACCGUGAGGGAGACAACCCAGAGCUGGGUUAAGGUCCCCAAGUGUAGACUAAGUGCGAUCGAAGGUGGUCUCAAGCCCUAGACAGCCGGGAGGUGAGCUUAGAAGCAGCUACCCUCUAAGAAAAGCGUAACAGCUUACCGGCCGAGGUUUGAGGCGCCCAAAAUGAUCGGGGCUCAAGUCUACCACCGAGACCUAGCAGUGCGGCUCACACCGCAAUCUUGUAGGUUGGCGUUCUGUUCGGGUGGAAGCACGGAAGAGAUUUCGUGUGGACCGUUCAGUAACGAAAAUCCUGGUCAUAGUAGCAGCGUUAGUCGGGUUAGAACCCCGACGGCCGAACGAGUAAGGGUUCCUCAGCAAUGCUGAUCAGCUGAGGGUUAGCCGGUCCUAAGUCUGCCCGUAAGUCGAAGCAGACAACAGGGAAAUAGGUUAAUAUUCCUAUGCCAGUGUGCACUCAAAGCUGACGCUUUGGGGCCGCCUGAGCCGGGCUUUCGCCCGGUCGAACUGUCGAAGAGCGUGGAAGCCGUAAUGGCACGAAGCGUUCGAAUGGCAGGAUCGCG
Molecule: ribosomal RNA, 1626 nt
Filed under: Natrinema longum
Lineage: Archaea; Methanobacteriati; Methanobacteriota; Halobacteria; Halobacteriales; Natrialbaceae
Description: partial 23S ribosomal RNA
Rfam family: Archaeal large subunit ribosomal RNA
Source: RNAcentral